This is an RNA transcript of Parus major (Great Tit), 1906 nucleotides long. It is a transcript of the gene named DnaJ heat shock protein family (Hsp40) member C17, with no coding region annotated. NCBI's taxonomy places the organism in Eukaryota, Metazoa, Chordata, Aves, Passeriformes, Paridae. The record is from RefSeq and is a predicted model, not a curated record. The transcript has 12 exons.
ACUACAUUUCCCAGCGACCGCGGCGCCAGGAGCGGAACCGGGAAGCGCGAAGAUGGCGGUGGAUAAGGAGCUGUUGGAGCGGGACCUCUACGGGCUGCUGGGGAUCGGCGAGAAGGCGUCCGAGAAGGAGGUGAAGACAGCGUUCCGGCAGAAGGCCCUGACCUGCCACCCGGACAAGAACCCGGACAACCCCCGGGCAGCGGAAAUCUUCCACCAGCUGUCCCAGGCCUUGGCCGUGCUCACAGAUGCAGCAGCCAGGGCAGCCUAUGACAGGGUGAGGAGGGCGAAGAAGGAGGCUGCAGCAAGGACACAGAAACUCGAUGAGAAGAGGAAGAAAGUAAAGCUUGAUCUUGAAGCCAGAGAACGAGAAGCCCAGUCCCAGGAGAACGAAGAGGAGGAGAUCAGGAUAACAAGAUCAUUAGAAGAAGAAAUAAUCCGCCUGCGUGAGGAGGGCUCCCGGCAGCUGGAGGAGCAGCAGAGGCUCGUCAGGGAGCAGAUCCGCCUGGAAAGGGAGCAGCACAGCCGAGGCAAGCAGGAAAGAAAUGGGGCAGAAGGCAAAAUAACUCCUAAGCUCAAGCUCAGGUGGAAAUGCAGGAAGGAAGAUGAGACAGGAGGGGGAUACUCCAAAGAUGUGCUGCUGCAGAUCCUGCAAAAGUAUGGUGAUGUGCUCAAUUUGUUGAUCUCCAGCAGGAAGACUGGGAGUGCAGUGGUGGAAUUUGCCACGGUGAAGGCAGCUGAGAUGGCUGUGAAGAAUGAAGUUGGCCUGUUAAAUAACCCCCUGAAGAUUUCCUGGCUGGAGGGCCAGCCCCAGAGCCGCCCCAGCACCGUCCUCCCUGACAGCACCAGCCAUUCCAGGACCUCACAGCUGGGAGCUCAGUGCAUGCGUGAGGCAGCAGUGUCAGAGACAUCUCUUCUCCUGCCAGAAGGAUAAAUCCACUGCUGGUGCUGUAUCAGCAGCCUACUUGGAUGCUUACCUGCUUCCAGGCUGGGAAUGCCACCUGCACUGGAGUUGAGGGAAAAGAAACCCACAAGGAGGAAGAGAAAAAACGGAGGAACAGCUUUGAGCUUUCACAUCCAAACGUGGUGGGAGGAGAAGCCCCAGUUCCCGUCUCUCAGCCCUCAAAGCUUUGGCUUUGGGGUGCAGUGCUGCUGCCUCCUUGCAGGCUGCCUGCUGUUCCACAAGUGAUCCAUGACAAAUCCCUGUGUCUCUACCCCACAGUGUCACAUCCCCAAAAUAAGUCCCAAAAAAUGCCAGUCUUCCCUGAGGAGGGGAUGUGCAGUCCGGAGUGGGAAAUUCCCGGGGUGGAGAGUGGAAAGUUGCCCAUGAGACAGAAGACUGUGUUCUCACCUGAACACGGAGCCCAUGAGCUCUGCUCCAGAGGAAUCCUUGGCAAGGACAGGGAUGGUCUGUGGUGGGCGAGCACAUCCUCGAGGAGCGAUAGCCCCAAAUCCACUUUGAAGGACAGGAAGGGGUCAGCCAGGUCGGGAAGAGUGGUGCUGUUUGGGAGACCUGCCUCUGAGGUGCCACGGUCUGUAGCCUGGUCCUUGUGCGUUGGAGUGGCUUUGUGGUACGGAGCAGCGUCGGAAAAGGAGAGGUCAGAGUGGGAAUCUGUGCGAUCGAUGAUGUUGGGGCAGCUGGAACUGUCCAGGUACAGCCGGGGAGGCUUGGGAGGGGCUUGUGCCUUGGCCAGGUUCUGCUCGCUCUGACAGGACAGGUACUCAGACUUGUCCUUCAGAUCCCUCAAGCAUUCCCUCUUCUGGCCAUCUGUGUCCAGAGUGUGGCUGUUCUGGUUCAGGAUGAUGACUUGGUUGCCCAGCUUUUUGUGCCUCCUGAGGGAGAAGCGUCGGAAGAAGGUGGUGGACUUGAUGGACCCCCUGCGCCAAGUAUCCAUGCUGAGGAAAGGCA